AGAGUUUGAUCAUGGCUCAGAACGAACGCUGGCGGCAGGCUUAACACAUGCAAGUCGAGCGCCCAGCAAUGGGAGCGGCGGACGGGUGAAUAACGCGUGGGAAUAUGCCCUUUGGUACGGAACAACUCAGGGAAACUUGAGCUAAUACCGUAUGUGCCAGAAAUGGGAAAGAUUUAUCGCCAAAGGAUUAGCCCGCGUCCGAUUAGCUUGUUGGUGAGGUAAUGGCUCACCAAGGCACCGAUCGGUAGCUGGUCUGAGAGGACGACCAGCCACACUGGGACUGAGACACGGCCCAGACUCCUACGGGAGGCAGCAGUGGGGAAUCUUGGACAAUGGGGGAAACCCUGAUCCAGCCAUGCCGCGUGAGUGAUGAAGGCCUUCGGGUUGUAAAACUCUUUCGACGGGGACGAUAAUGACGGUACCCGUAGAAGAAGCUCCGGCUAACUUCGUGCCAGCAGCCGCGGUAAUACGAAGGGGGCUAGCGUUGUUCGGAAUUACUGGGCGUAAAGCGCGCGCAGGCGGCCUUUCAAGUCAGGGGUGAAAGCCCAGAGCUCAACUCUGGAACUGCCCUUGAAACUGUUAGGCUUGAGUACGGGAGAGGUGAGUGGAAUUCCCAGUGUAGAGGUGAAAUUCGUAGAUAUUGGGGAAGAACACCGGUGGCGAAGGCGGCUCACUGGCCCGUAACUGACGCUCAGGCGCGACAGCGUGGGGAUCAAACAGGAUUAGAUACCCUGGUAGUCCACGCCGUAAACGAUGAACGCUAGCCGUUGGCAAGCUUGCUUGUCAGUGGCGCAGCUAACGCAUUAAGCGUUCCGCCUGGGGAGUACGGCCGCA
This 834-nucleotide ribosomal RNA is filed under the name uncultured bacterium. Its description in RNAcentral is "bacterial SSU rRNA". It matches the Rfam family "Bacterial small subunit ribosomal RNA", at positions 8 to 890 of the family's 1533-position model. The record is from RNAcentral.